GGGGGCGACCGGUUUCGACGGGAUGUCUUCGACAGAGCUGGCAGGCCGAGGUCUUGGCACCUCGUUAAACCGUCAAGAACAACUAAUAAGUGCAAACACCAACUUUGCACUGGCUGCUUAAAAUAAGCUAGCCCGUCUGACUCAGGUUUGCCGGUCGGCCUGAACUCAGGCGUCGAGCCAGACCGGAUAGUCUUCCGGCGGCGUCUCUGCGCGGGGAGAUGAAAUUAAACCGGGACUGGCCUGAAGCCGACCUGCCGUUCGGUAAGGCUUCAGGCGAGACAGAAAAGAUCGGAUAAGCCUGUAGAGGGUUCUGAGCCAAGCUUUCCGGACGUGGGUUCGAUUCCCACCGCCUCCAUUU
This 358-nucleotide transfer-messenger RNA is filed under the name bacterium. Its description in RNAcentral is "RBG-1 sp000447245 X3 Standard tmRNA". It matches the Rfam family "transfer-messenger RNA". Rfam says of the family: Bacterial tmRNA, also known as 10Sa RNA or SsrA, is named for its dual tRNA and mRNA-like properties. Its role is to liberate the mRNA from a stalled ribosome. The record is from RNAcentral. RNAcentral also lists the same sequence under 1 other name.